AACGUAGGAGGCAAGCGUUAUCCGGAUUUACUGGGCGUAAAGCGCGUGCAGGUGGCAGAGCGAGUUGGAUGUGAAAGCUCCCGGCUCAACUGGGAGAGGUCGUUCAAUACUGCUCAGCUAGAGGAUGGUAGAGGGAGGUGGAAUUCCGGGUGUAGUGGUGAAAUGCGUAGAUAUCCGGAGGAACACCAGUGGCGAAAGCGGCCUCCUGGACCAUGCCUGACACUCAGACGCGAAAGCUAGGGUAGCAAACGGG
RNAcentral lists this ribosomal RNA (253 nucleotides) under uncultured bacterium. RNAcentral describes it as "partial 16S ribosomal RNA". It matches the Rfam family "Bacterial small subunit ribosomal RNA", at positions 524 to 776 of the family's 1533-position model. The record is from RNAcentral.